CUGAUCUAAAAAUGCAUUUUCUAGUAUUAGCCGGGGACUAAUCCCAUCCAAGUUCCCAGCAUCUUGGGGCGAAGGGGCCCUUGUCUUGCUUCGGAAGUCCUUCAGAGCCAGAAACAUUUCACUUUUCAUGGCCGUGCCUGGAGGCUGGGAGGGUCACCGGCUGCCUAGAAACAAGGUUGAAGUUUUGGAAAAGAGCCUUAUUCCUGUGAUUGUUGAUCCACAGAUUUCCAGUGUUUCUUUAAUGGGCGUUCUCCGGCCUCAGCAGCCUCGCAGGCGCUCCUCACACCAACCCCGCUCCGGGCUUCCGGCACUUUUGAAACUGCCUUUUGGACUCGCCCUCAGGGCUGGUGUGUGAGCUGCAGAAGUAACCCCGUCAUAUUUCAGAAUUUUCACCCAAAGUGUUAUUAACCCAGCAUGAUUUUUUAUUUCAUUUACCCGAAAAGCUCCAGACGAUGGUGGCCUGUGUGUGCAGGAAAAAUGCCACUUCAGAGCUGAAAAGCAGAGGCCGUGGAAGGCAGUGGCCUGAAGGGUGAGAAGAGACGUUUUACAACUUCAGAGCUGAAAAGCGGACGCUGUGGAGGGCAGGGGCCUGAAGGAAGAGGAGCGACAUCUUCAUCUGUAGGACGCAUCGUUCAGGCCACAGAGCCCGCAAAUCUGGACCUUCCCCACGGUCACGAUCACUGGCGCAAGUGCGGGGCCUGCAGGUGGUGACUGACGGGCGGUGCAGUCGCGAUCCCCGAACUCUUCAACGUGUUUCAUGGCGCUGCUUCUCAACCUGAGACUGGAGGCUCCAGAGGCCUCACUGGCCACGCCGCUCCCGGGACCCCUCAGACCUCCCAGCCCGGACCUGAGGAGGCAGCUGCGGGAGGCUGCGUUUGCCGUUGCGCUCUCUGGAGCUGGAGAACCACCACGCGACUCCUGCACCCACUGUCAGGACCCCGAUGCCUCCCGGCUUGGAGAAAAGGACCCACUCCUCUCCGCGCUCUCUGCCCGUCGCCUGGCGCGGGGCCUCGCGGGGCUGAGAUCCUGAUGCCCAGGAGGAGCCACACCCGGCAGAGCCCCUCCUCUGCCGAGCCCAUCUCAGGUGGCUGGUUCCCUAGGAGUAAUACAAGGGGAAAAGGAUGCCAAUUUCCAUGGAUCGCCAUUUUCCAAGGUGCCGUGCUCGACACUUCACCAACUGUUGCUUCUCCCAAGGCCUUGAGGAAAGUAACAGUCAUACCUCCAGGUGGGAAAACCUCAGGGAAGCCUCUUCUGUCCUCCUAACUGGGAACAACUAAAAAUUCCUGGCGCGAGAGAUUUGUUUUUAUGGCACUGAUACCGUAAAUGGGAUACUUCACCAUUCCCCUUUCUGUGCAGGUGCUGAGAAAUGUUAGCAGAACCAACCCAGCGGCCAGCGCAUGCCGUGUGUGAACGUCCCUCCGAUGUGCACAUUUCUACUCACGGUGGGCCUCUAGGUUGUCCCUGCUAUGUUUUUCUGCUUCAUCUCACUCCAAGCUUUUCCUUCCUUGUUGCAUUUUAUAAAUAAGCUCCUGCUUCUCCUUUCUGUAUAUCAGACAGAUUUAAACAAAGAAAGAAAAGAAACACACAGGUGAUGAAGCAAGUCGUGCUCACCCAGGCUAUGUGGCAGGGCUCGGGCCUGGGUUUGACCCACAUUCAAGCCAAGAGUGUCCGAUCCUGCUGCUGCGCCGUCUCCCUCUGUCGAGUCGAAGACCGUUUACAAUACCUGAGGAGGCCAGAGGCUUUUCCUCACUCGGGGCACUCACUUCUCAGGGUCACGUCUCAGCAGCCUCCUCAAUAGCAGACCCCAUGGGAUGCACUUAUCCCAUGGCCUUGUACCCACCAUUCUUCCGUCUGAAGGUCCUGGGUGUGAGUGACUGGUUGGCAGCUGGUGGGUGGGGUUUCCAAGUGGGUGACAGCGCUCUCUGGCAGCCAGGAACACCGUGUCCACACUGACCAGGCCUGUGGAGAGUGCUCAGCCUAACCUUGGAACACAUUUGUAACUGAACGCACUGUUUUCACUUUGUAUGGAAUAGUUAAAAUAUUCUAUGAAAGUUGUGAAACGUGAACCAAAAGAAAAAACCUGGUGAGGUUAUGAAGGCUCAACUGCACCAAAAUCCUGGCCUUGAAACCAAAAUCCUGGCACUGACUCUCUUAGCAAUGUUAUGGGGGCUCUGCAAAGCUGAGAAGCCGAGUCCCAUAAGAAGAUAAAAGGUUGCGCCUGGAUGGCUUGUGUGUGGCAGAUGGGGAGGCUCCUCCUAGUCACGCCUGAACCUUCGGUCUGAACUGGAGCUCCACAGAGUGACGCUGCCCUGGAAUGCGGCAAACAUCCGCCUCCCUCCUGUGGCCGGUGCAUCCUCCAGCGUGUCCUCUGCUGGAAACGCACGUUAUCUCUAGAGCUGGCAGGUGCAGGACGCUGAGGGCUGAGUGUCUCUGGGAGCACGUCAGAUGUGAGAAUGAAAAGAGAGUCAGAGAUUGCCCUAGCCCUGCCUGGCGUGGAAAAUGUGGAGCAAAAUACAUCAGUGACUCCUGCCAGGCCUGUGGGAGAGUCAUGCCAGGCGUUUGCCAUGUUUGGUAACAACCAAGGAAGAGCGGCUGUGACAAAGUCAACACUUCUCCCUCGGGUCUCUGCCCAUCCCUUUCUGGAGUCAGUGACUAACAUUUCAGGGAGCACUGAGGUUGCCAGCUGAUCUCCCUUUACAUGGGGCCAUCCCCUUUUUGAAUGAGCUUAAAGCCAGGUACUUCACGCACUGCCAUGAUGUACAACCUGUUGCCAUGGGACCCCUUUCCAGUCUCGGGGGAGGACAGUCCACGUGCCUGGAUUCUAGAACCAUGCCUACCACACCAUUACAGGGAAGACGCCUCUAGGAAUCUAGCCGUGCCUUUCAGACAGGGAUAAUGUGGCCCACAGAUACCACCAGGCUCUUGUGAAUACAAUCAUGAGGUCACAGUGUGCCCAAACAGACGUGUCUCAGACAAACCGGAACCUGGGAAAUGGCCACUGACAUGGAGUCAGGAGCAACUUACUCUCAGGGUGCAGAUUUAUUCUAGAGUCUAUGUGAAGAAGAGAAGCCCAGAUAGAAACUGGGGAACAGGCCCAGGGGAAGGUGACCACGCGAGGAGAGCAGAGAAUCCAGGACGGUGGCCAGAGGCUGGAGCAGAGCUGGGGAGCAGGCUUCAAGCUCACAAUUCCAGCACCUGUGUGUGUGUGCACGUGUUAUGUACAUGUGUGCGCAUGCAUAUGUGCGUACUUGUGAGCACAUGUGUUUGCAUAUUUGCAUACGUGUGUGCACAGGCAUGUGUGUAUUGCGUGCUUGUGUGCACAAAUGUCUUCCCGUGUUUACAUGUAUGCACAUGUGCAUACUUCUGUGUGCAUGUAGACAUGUGUGUGUAUGUGUGCAUGUCUGUGCACAUGUGUGUGUGUUUCUGAGAGAAGAUCAGGCCAGCUCAGACUGCCUGACUGAGCACUGUACAGAAAGGCAGAGAAAAUAGCCUUUACCAGCAUUCUUGUUUGUUCAAAAUAAGGGAAGCUGUUAGAUUCUGAAGGGCGUGCUGCUGUAAUUCUUACUACCACUGUCUAAUUUAUGCAAACACUUGCCUGCAGCUGCUUCAGGAAAAGGCCUUUAUUAUCCCAAGGCCCCUCCUCCCCCGCACCCUCUGACCUGCAUGCAGAGCCCUCGGGAGCCUAUGUUUCCUGCCUGUGUUUGUGGGAAGUACUGCCGCAAUGGCCUCUGCGUGGGAGCCUGGUGAUGGGUUCCGCAACCUGGCCCUCCAUAGCCUCUUCAAUCACGUCUCCUUCAGAGAACGAAUAGCCUCCCACACAAACAUGAGUGAUUGGGAACCUUGGGAACUGUGGAAGUUUCAGCUUAAAUUCUUCUCUGAAGUUUAUCCAAAGUCCAGCUGACACUGAGCAUGAGGAUUUGAGGAGAAAAGGACUUAUGUGUUUCACUUGAAUCUUGCAAGCUUAGUUUCCUUCAAAAUGUACAACACAUAGGUUGGAUUCCUCCUCCACUGCUGAUCCCCAUCCCCCAAGCCACCAAGGUUCAGAUCCUGGAAUUUAAAGGGGUAGUGCGUGCACACACACACGGAUAUGCAAACACAUGUGUGUGCUCACAAUUACACACAUACACACGCACACACAUACAUAACACGUGCACACACACAGAGGUACUGGAAAUGUGAGCUUGAAGCCUGCUCCCCAGCUCUGCUCCUGCCUCUGGCCACCGUCCUGGAUUCUCUGCUCUGCUCACCUGGUCACCACCCCCUGGGCCUGUAAUUUGAAGAAUUUCUCAUUGGCUGUGUGACACUGGGCAACUGACUUAACCUCUCUGUGCCUCAGCUGUAAAAUGGACAUAGUAAUAAUAAUGCCCUCCCUCUUGAGGCUGUGAUGAGAAUAAAACAAGUAGAUGCAUUUGAAGUACAAGUGGCACCCACCGUGUGUCGCUUGUGUACAUGCAUGUCAUUCUCCCUGUAUGACCACUGGGAACGUUCAGGCCCACCCCAAUCUCCAGGAGGACAACUGGGGCCGAAGCUGAGUUGCUCACCCAUGGCCAAUGAUGUAAUCAAUCACAGCUCUGUAAUGAAGGCUCCAUAAAAACCCAAGAAGGCUGGGAUAGAGGAGCCUCAGGGUAGCUGGCCGUGUGGAGGGUGGCACCUGCGGAGCGCAGGGAAGCUUCACCCCCUCCCCCAGUCCUCACCUACACAUUGCUUCAUUGGCCCGUUCAUCUGUGCCCUUUGCAAUAAAGGGGUAAACAUAAGUCAAGCAUUUCCCCGAGUUCUGUGAGCCGAGCUAGCGAAUUAACCAAACCCAAGGAGAGGGUCUUAGGAACCCUGAUGUACAUAGAGCCAGCCGGUCAGAGAUACAGGGGCUUGCGAUUGGCACCUGAAGUGGGGGCCUUCUCGUGGGACUGAGCCCUCAGCCUGUGGGUCUGGCACUCAUUCCAGGUGGACAGUGUCAGGAUUGGUUGAACUACAGGACCCAGGGCCCCUCCUGACACUGCCCCGUCUCGGAGGUGGGGACGCGCUUGUCUGGGUGAGUCCCUGCUGGGGAUCUGACACUGGAAGACCUUCCAGGCGGCAGGAGGCUCAGGACCUCCCCCAGAAGCCCCUUCCCCUCCGACACUGGAAAUACAAGGUUUCGUUUCCACAAACCUGUGAGUUUGUGCAUAUUCUGCACUAGGACGCAACACGGAGUCAGGAGAGACUGUGGGGAAAAUAAGCAAAACAUGGCCAGACCCAUUUUCUUACCAAUUUUCAAGUGGAUUUCGGGUAUCAAACUAUCAUCCUGUUUGGUUUUUUUGUGCGGCAGGAUAUUAACCAGCGUUAGAGGGAGGGAGAUUCUGGGACAGGCUGCGGCGCGGAUGAGCCUUCCGGCUGCUGAGUGACAUGAGCCAGUCACUGAGAACAAAUCCUGCCCAACUCCACUUAGGUGGGGUCCAAAGAGUUGACAGGUUCACGGAGACAGGGA
This 5464-nucleotide long non-coding RNA is filed under the name Macaca nemestrina (pig-tailed macaque). Its description in RNAcentral is "lncRNA (ENSMNEG00000045680.1)". The record is from RNAcentral. Lineage: Eukaryota; Metazoa; Chordata; Mammalia; Primates; Cercopithecidae.